Bombus huntii is the source of this 2815-nucleotide long non-coding RNA. RefSeq lists it as uncharacterized. The record is from RefSeq and is a predicted model, not a curated record. The transcript has 2 exons. NCBI's taxonomy places the organism in Eukaryota, Metazoa, Arthropoda, Insecta, Hymenoptera, Apidae.
AGAAACAAACGGGACAACGUGAGAAACUAUUAUACAAGUGUCACAUAUGAAACAGUGUAGUUUCAUUUAUUCGUUGGACGUUCACGAGACACGUUUUCGAUUUUUAAUAAUCUAUUUCUGGAGAAAUUAUAGGUAAGGGAGGAAUUCUACGUCUAUCAUUAGCAGUAGUAACGGGCAAAGCAAAUACAAAAGGAUACUAAUUGGUACUAGGAAACAUAUUUAUUAUCGAGUUUUAUUAUUGUACAUGUUGCUCUUAUGCGAUUAACGAGGAUGCCGUACGGCAGAAAGUGCGCAAAAACGUUUUACGAGCAGUAAAAUAAUUCCAUGCCUUGAUAAUCACGAUCACAGACGCAGCGCGAUGAUUAAGAUAAUCAAAUAAUUCCUCUCUGUUGACUAAAUUUCUCGUGUGAAAUUGAUUAAUAUAUUUGAUCUCUGUUGCUCGAAUUUUUAUUUAUAUAUCCUAUAUAUAUGUAUUUUUAUUCGUUUCUAUUCCUCAUACUUUUAUCUAUGUUCUUAAUUUUCGGGUUAUAAAUUCACAUUGCAAAUUAUCAUUUACUGAUUAAUUAUCGCGCUCGAGGAUCGGUGACCACGAUGAAAGUACAGUGUCUACGCGAUGUUACUUCUGUAUUAACGUAGCUUUUGUACAGAUUAUUAUCGGCAUUUUCGACUUGACGUCCGAUGAGAACCACAGCGAAUACAGAACUCAACAAAUAAAACAUUCGUAUAAAUAAAUAAAUAAAUAAAUAAGGUGAGCAUGUUUUUUUUCGAUUUUUCCAUUUCCUAACUUUCGUUCGGAACCAUCGGUGAACCGUUCGAAAGGGGAGAAAAAGAACAAGAAUUCUCGAUGUGUUUCUUUUUUACUCCUUUUUUUUCGAUUUUUCUUCUGCUAUCGUUUAUUUUAUUUUAUAUACUUUUUUUGUGAUUUUGAUAUUGUUUAGUGCUGGCUCGUGCGGCCCAGUAAGCGAUUAAAGCGAUUAGUGAUAGCUGGCGUAACAAGAAACGCACGUGUUCCUCGACGUUUUACUGUUGAGGAAUAUUUCAAAGAAGGUAUGUUUAUGUCGCAGCCACGAUCAUGGUAGCACUAAGGAUAAGAACAGCAUCGUGUAUCGAUGUACUAUUAGGUAUAUGAAAGCCACAGGUGAAAAACAUGACAAGUUAAACCCUUAAACAAUUAUUCUUUUAUCGAAGAACGAUCGUAAAAUUCAAUAUGUUAUCAGUCAAUAAAAGAUCUCCAGAAAUAAACUUAUCAUGCUUUUCCCGCGUGAUUUCCAUAUGUUUUAUGAUAUGAUAAUAAAAUUUAUGAUACUUAUGUACAAACUCGAGAUAUCGUAUCACGCGUGUAUGUACCAGUGUAUAUUAUAAAAAAGAAAAGGAACGAGAAUGAAAGGAAAAUAGGGGAUGCGACCCCAGAAAAGAAAAAGAAAAAUCACGAAUAUUUUGUAAAUUCGAUUGGCAGACCCUAGCUGCGUAGGUUCGCUCUGAAAUGAGACUAAGAAAAAUCGAAUGGUGGAUCAAGCAGUCGUUUAUUCCAGAUCAAUAUACGAUUGUCAUGAUCAUCAAGUUGCUACAAACCUAUGUCGCUCGCGUUGCACUUGACAUAAACAUACUCUUGAGAGAUCUGCUGAUUGAUUAAGGAAUUAUAUAAUUAAGAAUAAUUCGUUUUAAUCCUGGAAUCGAACCACGACGCCUUCAAAAGAGAUUGUGCGAUGAAUCUUCAUCCAUCAAUGUCAAUCAUGAAAGGAUUAAAUGAAGACUGAACGAUAAUUGCAUUAGCGACAAUAUUAAUUAAUAAUCGCUAUAGCGUCUUCAGGUUCCAGGAUUAAAACCAACGAGAGAAGAUAAUAAACGAAACGAGAAAGUGUUCGUCGCUACAACCUAUACCGCGAGAUCUAGGUAGAACACUACGAAACGUUCGGCAAGAGCGAACAGCCACAUCUUCCAUUCGAUCGUCGACGAUCGUUCGUUCGAUCGAUCGUUUCGCGACCAAGAAAAAAGAAGUCCUACCCCGUUCUUCCGCGAGCGUUACCGAUCAAAAAUGCAAUGGGACAGCGGUAUCGUGUCGUCGCGACGAUAUAACAAUAGAACAAUGAUACGCAAGACUAAUUUAUGGCAGGACGAUCGAAGUGUAUGGCCGGUUUCGGCCAUUAUUUGAUUAGAACGCAUUCUUUGAUUCACGCGCACGCGGGCAUCGAGAUUUUCUCUGUUCGCGCGAGAAAUGCAUGUGGAUUUCUUAUUUAUAUAUGUAUAUUAUAUAUACACAUAAAUCCUUCCUUCUUUCUUUUUAAAAAUCGACUACUAAAAAUCGCCUCGUAGACUGAACAAGUCUUAUGUUUCUCGAGAAGCGUGUGCGCUUUGUUGUUGUGUUUUUUGAUAUGAUUUAAGAACGCUUAUUAUCAAGAAUUGUGCGUGACGAUGAUGUUGUUCGAGUUCGCUGAUUUAUAUUCGCAGUUCUUUUUCCUUUCGUUUUUACGAAAAGUUUAGUUACGAAAAAUUUACACGUGAGUGUUUGGCUAUAUCUUUUUGUGAAAAAUAUAGGAGGGUGUCUCGGGGAUUACAGAUAUGUUAAAUGAGGGUAAGGGCGCAUGAUUUUUUCGAUGAUCGAUGCCGAUUUAUAGACCGAUUAUGCGACGAGAUUUUAAAAUAUUUUGUUCGCGACGAUGAGCGUAGGGGAGACAGAUGAUUACGUCGAUGAUGAUGAUACUUCGAUAUAUCGAUGACGAAUCAAAAUGACGAUAAACAUGUUUCAGGAACAAGUUUGUUCAACGAACGAAACAUUCGUAUCUUUUUUUACAAUCUAUAUUUCUUCAUCCGUAUC